UUGAACUAAUUGUUAUCAGCCUUUCUGAAACCGAAUAUUCCGAGUUGGACAGUUCGGGGUUACUCAAUCCUGAGUAUCAUUUUUAACUCUGAGUUUUCCCUGUUUCAGAAAGCCGGUUUAGUGCAAACUCUGAGGCCCUGGUCCUGCACUGGUGUCUAUCAGCUUAAUGACUUGCAGAGAGAGGGACUGUGGAAACUCAGCCUGUUCAGAGGUUAUGGAGUUUUCCAAAAAGCCAGCAGCACAUAGCCCGGUGGCGAUGACACUUGGUCCCUGAGAUGGACUAGGUAUACAGGGAGUACCUCGCCCAGUAACAGCAGCAGCAGGACAAGCAGUGGAUGGAUGGAUGGAUGGAUGGAUGGAUGGACGAACAGACCAGAUGGUGCAAAGGACCUUACUAUGGAGGUAAGAGUUAAUAUGCCAGGCUAAACCUACAAGUCGCUGGUCUUGUCUUAAAAUACUGCUUCUGGUUCUCUUUAGUUUAUUUUUGGCCACAAGAUGUGUUACUGCAGUAGUCUAAUGGGCC
This is a long non-coding RNA of Oreochromis aureus, 523 nucleotides long. Lineage: Eukaryota; Metazoa; Chordata; Actinopteri; Cichliformes; Cichlidae. The record is from Ensembl.